AGAGUUUGAUCCUGGCUCAGAUUGAACGCUGGCGGCAGGCCUAACACAUGCAAGUCGGACGGUAGCACAGAGAGCUUGCUCUUGGGUGACGAGUGGCGGACGGGUGAGUAAUGUCUGGGGAUCUGCCCGAUAGAGGGGGAUAACCACUGGAAACGGUGGCUAAUACCGCAUAACGUCGCAAGACCAAAGAGGGGGACCUUCGGGCCUCUCACUAUCGGAUGAACCCAGAUGGGAUUAGCUAGUAGGCGGGGUAAUGGCCCACCUAGGCGACGAUCCCUAGCUGGUCUGAGAGGAUGACCAGCCACACUGGAACUGAGACACGGUCCAGACUCCUACGGGAGGCAGCAGUGGGGAAUAUUGCACAAUGGGCGCAAGCCUGAUGCAGCCAUGCCGCGUGUAUGAAGAAGGCCUUCGGGUUGUAAAGUACUUUCAGCGGGGAGGAAGGCGGUGCGGUUAAUAACCGCGCCGAUUGACGUUACCCGCAGAAGAAGCACCGGCUAACUCCGUGCCAGCAGCCGCGGUAAUACGGAGGGUGCAAGCGUUAAUCGGAAUUACUGGGCGUAAAGCGCACGCAGGCGGUCUGUUAAGUCAGAUGUGAAAUCCCCGGGCUUAACCUGGGAACUGCAUUUGAAACUGGCAGGCUUGAGUCUUGUAGAGGGGGGUAGAAUUCCAGGUGUAGCGGUGAAAUGCGUAGAGAUCUGGAGGAAUACCGGUGGCGAAGGCGGCCCCC
This 730-nucleotide ribosomal RNA is filed under the name Pantoea vagans. Its description in RNAcentral is "bacterial SSU rRNA". It matches the Rfam family "Bacterial small subunit ribosomal RNA", at positions 8 to 729 of the family's 1533-position model. Lineage: Bacteria; Pseudomonadati; Pseudomonadota; Gammaproteobacteria; Enterobacterales; Erwiniaceae. The record is from RNAcentral.